UCCUACUCACUCCCCACUCUCAAUAGCACUAUGUGAAGACAAUCUACGUGUUGGGAGAAGCAAUGUGAUCUACCAAGCUAGGACUGAUUAAGAGGAGCCCUAGCAGGGUUUCACAUUUUAGAGGACUCCACUCUGGACUUAUUGGGCACCAAUCCUGAAGAGUUUGAAGGUCCAAAAGCUAUGAGGUUCUGAUCAUGGACCAGAACCACUAAAACUGAAGAUGAUCUCUACAGAACACAUCAAAACAAUUUUUUCCUGCCUUCAGUACAGACCUGACCAGCAGGGAGAAUGGCAAGAAAUCAGCAAGUAGAAGAGAGUUGGGAUACUUACUCUCUUUCUUUUUGGCCAUCUGUGUUUUUUGGUAGAGGUUGUGCUUUUUUGUUUACAACCAUAGCAAUGUCAUGUAGGUUCUCACACAACUGAAUUACUACUGAAUUCCAGAAACCUGGCUUCCUUCAGUUACCCUGAAGAUUUAAGUGAGACUGCAGGUCUGAUCUUGUGGAACUCAUCCUUCUUUGGAACAACAUCUCUUCUGCAUUAGCAGCCCUUUAAAUAGGCAUAACUGUUCACACUACCUGAUCACUGGUGUCCAUCAGUAAAUUCCUACGCUCACCGUCACCUUCUAAGAGAACGACAGGAGAGAGAGGAGACAGUACACUUCUCUCUUCCUAGGUCCACUGAAAUAAACCACAGAUCUUCAAGAAGAACUACCACAGAAAUCCAGCACAGUAAGGCUCGGAGUCAAACUGGAACCUCAUCUGGAUCCAUGUCCCCAAUUUAUCUGACGAAUAAAAAAAGACAAAAACCAGGGCCAAGUGUGGUGGCAUACACCUAU
This is a long non-coding RNA of Chinchilla lanigera (long-tailed chinchilla), 835 nucleotides long. RefSeq lists it as uncharacterized. NCBI's taxonomy places the organism in Eukaryota, Metazoa, Chordata, Mammalia, Rodentia, Chinchillidae. The transcript has 9 exons. The record is from RefSeq and is a predicted model, not a curated record.